RNAcentral lists this ribosomal RNA (500 nucleotides) under uncultured bacterium. RNAcentral's name for it is "bacterial SSU rRNA". It matches the Rfam family "Bacterial small subunit ribosomal RNA", at positions 73 to 572 of the family's 1533-position model. The record is from RNAcentral.
GGAGAGCUUGCUCUCGCUGACGACCGGCGCACGGGUGCGUAACGCGUAUAGAAUCUGCCUUACACUGAGGGAUAGCCUUUGGAAACGAAGAUUAAUACCUCAUGGUAUCAUUUACUGGCAUCAGUUAAUGAUUAAAGGUUACGGUGUAAGAUGACUAUGCGUCCUAUUAGCUAGUAGGUAAGGUAACGGCUUACCUAGGCAACGAUAGGUAGGGGCCCUGAGAGGGGGAUCCCCCACACUGGUACUGAGACACGGACCAGACUCCUACGGGAGGCAGCAGUGAGGAAUAUUGGACAAUGGAGGCAACUCUGAUCCAGCCAUGCCGCGUGAAGGAUGACUGCCCUAUGGGUUGUAAACUUCUUUUAUACAGGAAGAAACCGUUCCACGUGUGGAGCUUUGACGGUACUGUAUGAAUAAGCACCGGCUAACUCCGUGCCAGCAGCCGCGGUAAUACGGAGGGUGCAAGCGUUAUCCGGAAUCAUUGGGUUUAAAGGGUCCGU